GGUUACUUCGGUACAUCGGUGACAGGUGGUGCAUGGUUGUCGCCAGCUCGUGUCGUGAGAUGUUGGGUUAAGUCCCGCAACGAGCGCAACCCCUAUUGUUAGUUGCCAUCAUUCAGUUGGGGCACUCUAGCGAGACUGCCGGUAAUAACCGGAGGAAGGUGGGGAUGACGUCAAAUCAUCAUGCCCCUUAUGACCUGGGCUACACACGUGCUACAAUGGCUGGUACAACGAGCUGCGAGUCGGUGACGGCGAGCUAAUCUCUUAAAGCCAAUCUCAGUUCGGAUUGUAGGCUGCAACUCGCCUACAUGAAGUCGGAAUCGCUAGUAAUCGCGGAUCAGCACGCCGCGGUGAAUACGUUCCCGGGCCUU
Molecule: ribosomal RNA, 368 nt
Filed under: uncultured Streptococcus sp.
Lineage: Bacteria; Bacillati; Bacillota; Bacilli; Lactobacillales; Streptococcaceae
Description: bacterial SSU rRNA
Rfam family: Bacterial small subunit ribosomal RNA
Source: RNAcentral